CAGCCGCCGCGGGAAUACGAAGGGGGCUAGCGUUGCUCGGAAUCACUGGGCGUAAAGGGUGCGUAGGCGGGUCUUUAAGUCAGGGGUGAAAUCCUGGAGCUCAACUCCAGAACUGCCUUUGAUACUGAAGAUCUUGAGUUCGGGAGAGGUGAGUGGAACUGCGAGUGUAGAGGUGAAAUUCGUAGAUAUUCGCAAGAACACCAGUGGCGAAGGCGGCUCACUGGCCCGAUACUGACGCUGAGGCACGAAAGCGUGGGGAGCAAACAGGAUUAGAUACCCCAGUAGUCCCUGUCUCUUAUAC
This 301-nucleotide ribosomal RNA is filed under the name uncultured bacterium. RNAcentral's name for it is "partial 16S ribosomal RNA". It matches the Rfam family "Bacterial small subunit ribosomal RNA", at positions 509 to 807 of the family's 1533-position model. The record is from RNAcentral.